AUACCAGGAAUGGUCUAAGAAAGAUCAUUUUGUGCGCUAUAUUAUAUUGUGUUGCAUGCAUAAUGAUUCCAUUGGAGAGUUUGAGAGUUAUUCUACGGCUAAGGACAUGUGGGAUAAGCAUAAGGUCACUUAUGACCAAUAUUCGUUACAAGGCUCUGUGCAUUGGAUUUAAAGUGGAUGAAAUAUGAAAUAGAUCUAAAGCACAAUAUAGCUAAACACUUAUAUAUUGUGAGUGUUAUGGUUCGUGACCUUAAGGUUAAAGGACGUGAUAUAAGAGAUCGGGAGCAAGUUCUGAAUGUGAUUCGUUCACUUCCAGAUGAACCUAAAUGUUAGAAAAAUUUUAAACUCCUGAUAGUUCAGAGUGAACACAUUAAUACUUUCUCUGAAAUUG
This 391-nucleotide long non-coding RNA is filed under the name Carica papaya (papaya). Its description in RNAcentral is "long non-coding RNA (CPAP_LNC011226)". Lineage: Eukaryota; Viridiplantae; Streptophyta; Magnoliopsida; Brassicales; Caricaceae. The record is from RNAcentral.